CAAAAGGCCCUUUUAAGGGCCACCAACUUCUCUCUAGAGCAGAGAAU
This is a non-coding RNA of Oryzias latipes (Japanese medaka), 47 nucleotides long. The record is from Rfam. Lineage: Eukaryota; Metazoa; Chordata; Actinopteri; Beloniformes; Adrianichthyidae.